This 468-nucleotide ribosomal RNA is filed under the name uncultured bacterium. Its description in RNAcentral is "partial 16S ribosomal RNA". It matches the Rfam family "Bacterial small subunit ribosomal RNA", at positions 28 to 507 of the family's 1533-position model. The record is from RNAcentral.
GACGAACGCUGGCGGCGUGCUUAACACAUGCAAGUCGAACGGAAAGGCCCUGCUUUUGUGGGGUGCUCGAGUGGCGAACGGGUGAGUAACACGUGAGUAACCUGCCCUUGACUUUGGGAUAACUUCAGGAAACUGGGGCUAAUACCGGAUAGGAGCUCCUGCUGCAUGGUGGGGGUUGGAAAGUUUCGGCGGUUGGGGAUGGACUCGCGGCUUAUCAGCUUGUUGGUGGGGUAGUGGCUUACCAAGGCUUUGACGGGUAGCCGGCCUGAGAGGGUGACCGGCCACAUUGGGACUGAGAUACGGCCCAGACUCCUCCGGGAGGCAGCAGUGGGGAAUAUUGCACAAUGGGCGGAAGCCUGAUGCAGCAACGCCGCUUGCGGGAUGACGGCCUUCGGGUUGUAAACCGCUUUCGCCUGUGACGAAGCGUGAGUGACGGUAAUGGGUAAAGAAGCACCGGCUAACUACGUG